UUCCGCGGCACGCCGUCGCCCUUUGCCACUCCUUCCUGCUCCGAGAGCCGCUGCAGCCCCCGGGUUCGAGCGGGGCCCCACGAGGGCACGCCGCCACCCCGCGAGCGGGCCCCAAACGCCCGGCCCCUCGAUGCAGGCCGCGGGUCUCUGCCCGCGUCCCCCGACAGCAGAGAGAGGAGAGCGCGGAGUUCGCCCGGCGAGGCGGCUCCCCGCCCCGUCCCCUCGCAGCCGCUCCGUGUGCUUUUCCAAAGGAACGUUAAUGCCCCCGGGCUGUCCGCUGCUGCCUCCGCGUUGGCUGCCAGAUGGAUCCCGUUGCGUGCUCCUGGGAAAGCCCUAAGGCAACACUCAAGACUGCAGUGCUGGUGAAGUCCUAGUCUGGCAGAGCCUGAGCACCAUGCCGUGUCUUGUCUCAAGGUCCAUGCAAUGCUGCACGACUUCUUUCCAACAUCUGAAGGAAUGUAAGGUGAUGUAUUUUUUUCUCGUGUUAUCUCCAGGUGUUUUAACUUUAAUCAAUGCCUUGCAGAAUCUGGGCCCCUUUCUUAGGGGAUCUGGAAGGAGCAGUCACCCCUGCACUUUACAUCUGGUGUUGUUGGCAGGAUCCUACCUGCCUUGAAGGCACUGCCAAUACCCUGGUUGGGGCUGCAGGGAGGAGAGUGGUGGGGA
Molecule: long non-coding RNA, 663 nt
Filed under: Gallus gallus (chicken)
Lineage: Eukaryota; Metazoa; Chordata; Aves; Galliformes; Phasianidae
Description: long non-coding RNA NONGGAT004653
Source: RNAcentral